This 1650-nucleotide long non-coding RNA is filed under the name Homo sapiens (human). RNAcentral describes it as "HSALNT0144922". The record is from RNAcentral. Lineage: Eukaryota; Metazoa; Chordata; Mammalia; Primates; Hominidae.
GGAUGAGGGACAGCAGUGCCUCAUGGCAGGAAAUGAGCCACAGUGACGCACAGAAAUCUCUUCCAUGCGUGAAAACAGCCAGCCGGUGAGAUGAUGUCAGAGCUGGAGAAAAGGGAUGGACAUACAUUGAGCUCUUACUGUGUACCGCCCUCCACACCAGGUACUCUGCAUGAAGCGAUGAGAACACUGAGGCCCAGAUUGGGUAACUGGCCCAGGAGCCCACAGCUGAUAGGUGCAGAGCCAGGUUUGGAACCCAGUUCUGGAGGCCAGAAGUCCAAUAUGGGUCUCAUGGGCUAAAACCAACGUGUUGCCCGGGCUGUGUUCCUUCCAGAGGCUCCAGAUGAAGCUGGGGUUGGAGAUGGAGUUGUCAUCUUGUGACCUCAAAGCAACCAGCAUGAUAACAAAAGCCAGCACACCACAGACGGCAGAAUGGAAAGGCAGUAAGAAUCUGGGUCCGGUCUCUCACAAGGUUGUUGAGUCACUACACCAGUCCUGGAAUGCUGAUCUCUGGAGAACUUGUUAGACAGUCUUCCCACCACCUUGUUCCGAGGCUCUGGGUGAGUGUUCCAGAAGCUGACGAGAUGCAGGAUCGUCUCCCUCACACACACAAAUGCCAUGGCAACAGCAACUCCGUGACAACAGCAAAGAAAGCCAGACUGGAAUUUGCCAACCCAGAGUGUUGACCAUCUGUGAGGCCAAACCCUCCAAAUGUUGCCCGUUCUAAGUGCUCAUCUCAACCAGGCUUUUGUACAUAGCAGAGGCGACAUUUAAGUGACAUAAGAAUAAACAUUGGGCACAUGUGAAAUCCCUUUAAAGUGUGCAUUUUUCUGCCCCAAUGUGACUGAGAUGAUGACACAAUGAAGAAAAAGGGGGGACUAGGUUUGAGUGAGUGGGCAUGGUAGAUUUCAGUAAUAGGAAAUUUAGACCGUCCAUAGGGGAGGAGCUCUCCAUAGAAAAAACGGCCCAGUUAGUUUAUAUCUAUGCUUCCAUUUUCAAGUCCAACAAUCUUUUAGAAGUUUACCUUCCCCAAGGCAAAACAUUGUGUGUAUAUAUAUAUAUAUUUUUUUUGCUUUUUUUGAGACAGGGUCUUCCCCUGUCACCCAGGCUGGAGUGCAGUGGUGCAAACAUGGCUCACUGCAGCCUCGACCUCCUGGGCUCAAGCCAUCCUCCUGCCUCAGCCUCCCUAGUAGCUGGGACUAUAGGCGUGCACUAUCAUGCCCGGCUAAUUUUUAAUUUUUUGUAGAGACAGGGUUUUGGCAUGUUGCCUGGCCUCAAACUCCUGAGCUCAAGCCAUCCUCCUGCUUUUGUAUCCCAAACUUGUGGGAUUAUAGGCAUGAUCCACUACAUCCGGCCAAAGAUUUGUGAAUAGUUCCAUCAAAGGCCCCAAUAAAUUUAACCCUCUGGGUCUUGAGUUUCCAUGGGUCUCCUUUUGUUCUUAUAAUAACAGUGAUAACAUCUGGUAGGAACUGUGCCAAAUCCUUCAUAUGUAUUUUCUCACUUACUCUUUGUAACAAACUUAGGAGGAGGUACGGCGAUUACUGUUGGCCCUCCAUAUCUGCGGGGAUUUGUGGGUUGGGUUCUACCAACUGUGGAUUGAAAAUAUUUGGGGGAAAAAAAUCCACAAUGAAAAAUAACAAUAAAACAAUAAAA